Molecule: ribosomal RNA, 797 nt
Filed under: Porrhomma longjiangense
Lineage: Eukaryota; Metazoa; Arthropoda; Arachnida; Araneae; Linyphiidae
Description: SSU rRNA
Rfam family: Eukaryotic small subunit ribosomal RNA
Source: RNAcentral
CGAAAGUUAGAGGUUCGAAGGCGAUCAGAUACCGCCCUAGUUCUAACCAUAAACGAUGCCAGCCAGCGAUCCGGCUGCGUUCCUCAAAUGACGCGCCGGGCAGCUUCCGGGAAACCAAAGCUUUUGGGUUCCGGGGGAAGUAUGGUUGCAAGGCUUAAACUUAAAGGAAUUGACGGAAGGGCACCACCAGGAUUGGAGCCUGCGGCUUAAUUUGACUCAACACGGGGAAACUCACCCGAACCGGACACAGGAAGGAUUGACAGAUUAAGAGCUCUUUCUUGAUUCUGUGGGUGGUGGUGCAUGGCCGUUUCUAGUUGGUGGAGUGAUUUGUCUGCUUAAUUGCGUCAACGAACGAGAUUCUAGCCUGCUAAAUAGGCGUUCCGAUCCUUCGAGUCGGACGCUCUUCUUAGAGGGACAGGCGGCGUUUAGCCGCACGAGACAGAGCUAAAACAGGUCUGUGAUGCCCUUCGAUGUCCGGGGCCGCACGCGCGCUACAUUGAAGGAAUCAGCGUGUGCUUUCCCUGUCCGACAGGACUGGGUAACCCGUUGAACCUCCUUCGUGCUGGGGAUAGCAACUUGCAAUUAUUUUGCUUGAACGAGGAAUUCCCAGUAAGCACGAGUCAUCAGCUCGUGUUGACUAUGUCCCUGCCCUUUGUGCACACCGCCCGUCGCUACUACCGAUUGAAUGGUUUAGUGAGGUCCUCGGACUGGCGCUCGGAUUGGCUUUCGGGUCGAGCCGACGUGCCGGAAAGAUGACCAAACUUGAUCAUUUAGAGGAAGUAAAAGUCGUAACAAGG